Molecule: non-coding RNA, 785 nt
Filed under: Drymeia vicana
Lineage: Eukaryota; Metazoa; Arthropoda; Insecta; Diptera; Muscidae
Source: RNAcentral
UUAAAGUUUUAUUUUAGCUUAAAAGUUUAUUAUUAAUUUAAUUUAUAUGUAAAUUUUUAUAUGAAUUAUUGUUUAAUUUAAUAUUAAUUAAAUAUAAAUUUAUUCGCAGUAAUUAGUAUUAUUAAUUAAAGAAAUUUAGAAAUAGUAAUAUUAAAAAGUAUUGGCUAAAUUUGUGCCAGCAGCCGCGGUUAUACGAAUAAUGCAAGUAAAUUUUUUUAGUUUAAGUUAUAUUGAUUUUUAUAAAAUAAAAAUAAAUUUAUUAGGUGAAAUUUUAAAUUUAUUAUUUUUUAAUGAAAAUAAUUGAAGCUUGAAAAUUUUAAAGAUAAACUAGGAUUAGAUACCCUAUUAUUUAAAAUGUAAAAAUAAAAUUAAGGUAGUAAUAGUUAUUUUCUUGAAACUUAAAAAAUUUGGCGGUAUUUUAGUCUAUUCAGAGGAACCUGUUCUAUAAUUGAUAAUCCACGAUGGACCUUACUUAAAUUUGUAUAUCAGUUUAUAUACCGUCGUUAUUAGAAUAUUUUUUAAGAAUAUUAAUUUUCAUAAUUUUAAAUAAGAAAAUAUAUCAGAUCAAGGUGUAGCUUAUAUUUAAGUAGAAAUGGGUUACAAUAAAAUUAUUUAUAUGGAUAUAAAUUUGAAAUUUUUUAUUAAAAGUGGAUUUGAUAGUAAAGUUAUAAAGAUAAAUAAUUUGAUUUUAGCUCUAAAAUAUGUACACAUCGCCCGUCACUCUUAUUAUUAAGGUAAGAUAAGUCGUAACAUAGUAGAUGUACCGGAAGGUGUAUCUAGAAUGC